RNAcentral lists this ribosomal RNA (443 nucleotides) under uncultured bacterium. Its description in RNAcentral is "SSU rRNA". It matches the Rfam family "Bacterial small subunit ribosomal RNA", at positions 26 to 518 of the family's 1533-position model. The record is from RNAcentral.
AGAACGAACGCUGGCGGCAGGCUUAACACAUGCAAGUCGAGCGCCCCGCAAGGGGAGCGGCAGACGGGUGAGUAACGCGUGGGAACAUACCCUCCGGUUCGGAAUAGCUCAGGGAAACUUGGAUUAAUACCGGAUACGGCCUAGCGGCGAAAGAUUCAUCGCCGGAGGAUUGGCCCGCGUUCGAUUAGCUAGUUGGUGAGGUAACGGCUCACCAAGGCGACGAUCGAUAGCUGGUCUGAGAGGAUGAUCAGCCACAUUGGGACUGAGACACGGCCCAAACUCCUACGGGAGGCAGCAGUGGGGAAUAUUGGACAAUGGGCGCAAGCCUGAUCCAGCCAUGCCGCGUGAGUGAUGACGGCCUUAGGGUUGUAAAGCUCUUUCGCUAGGGACGAUAAUGACGGUACCUAGACAAGAAGCCCGGCUAACUACGCGCCAGCAGCCGC